RNAcentral lists this ribosomal RNA (465 nucleotides) under uncultured bacterium. RNAcentral describes it as "partial 16S ribosomal RNA". It matches the Rfam family "Bacterial small subunit ribosomal RNA", at positions 338 to 795 of the family's 1533-position model. The record is from RNAcentral.
CCUACGGGCGGCAGCAGUGGGGAAUUUUGCGCAAUGCUCGUAAGAGUGACGCAGCGACGCCGCGUGAAUGACGAAGGCCUUCGGGUCGUAAAGUUCUUUCGACAGGGAAGAAAAUGCCUAUAAGUAACUGUGUAUGUAUUGAUGGUACCUGUAUAAGCAGCCCCGGCUAACUCCGUGCCAGCAGCCGCGGUAAUACGGAGGGGGCGAGCGUUGUUCGGGGUGACUGGGCGUAAAGAGCACGUAGGCGGUGUUGUAAGUCAUUAGUCAAAGACUAGAGCUCAACUUUAGUAAGGCUAGUGAUACUAUAAUACGAGAGUAUCAGAGAGGAUUGCAGAAUUCCUGGUGUAGCGGUGAAAUGCGUAGAUAUCAGGAGGAAUACCGUUAGCGAAGGCGGCAAUCUGGCUGGAAACUGACGCUGAGGUGCGAAAGCGUGGGUAGCAAACAGGAUUAGAUACCCCGGUAGUC